UACGUAGGGUGCAGGCGUUAACCGGAAUCACUGGGCGUAAAGCGUGCGCAGGCGGCUUUGCAAGACAGAUGUGAAAUCCCCGGGCUUAACCUGGGAACUGCAUUUGUGACUGCAUGGCUGGAGUGCGGCAGAGGGGGAUGGAAUUCCGCGUGUAGCAGUGAAAUGCGUAGAUAUGCGGAGGAACACCGAUGGCGAAGGCAAUCCCCUGGGCCUGCACUGACGCUCAUGCACGAAAGCGUGGGGAGCAAACAGG
RNAcentral lists this ribosomal RNA (253 nucleotides) under uncultured bacterium. RNAcentral describes it as "partial 16S ribosomal RNA". It matches the Rfam family "Bacterial small subunit ribosomal RNA", at positions 524 to 776 of the family's 1533-position model. The record is from RNAcentral.